Molecule: ribosomal RNA, 428 nt
Filed under: uncultured bacterium
Lineage: Bacteria
Description: partial 16S ribosomal RNA
Rfam family: Bacterial small subunit ribosomal RNA
Source: RNAcentral
GUGGGGAAUAUUGGGCAAUGGGCGCAAGCCUGACCCAGCAACGCCGCGUGAAGGAAGAAGGCUUUCGGGUUGUAAACUUCUUUUACCAGGGACGAAACAAAUGACGGUACCUGGUGAAUAAGCCACGGCUAACUACGUGCCAGCAGCCGCGGUAAUACGUAGGUGGCGAGCGUUAUCCGGAUUUAUUGGGUGUAAAGGGCGUGUAGGCGGGACAGCAAGUCAGAUGUGAAAACCAGAGGCUCAACCUCUGGCCUGCAUUUGAAACUGUUGUUCUUGAGUGUCGGAGAGGUAAUCGGAAUUCCGUGUGUAGCGGGGAAAUGCGUAGAUAUACGGAGGAACACCAGUGGCGAAGGCGGAUUACUGGACGAUAACUGACGCUGAGGCGCGAAAGCGUGGGGAGCAAACAGGAUUAGAUACCCGUGUAGUCC